UACUUUUGAGUUUUGAGCACUCCUUAAAUGAGAAUGACAACACAGGUCAAUGCUCCUGUGAAGAUUUACCUUAAGAGUGAAGAGUUAGCAUUAAUCCCGGACUGAAAGUGUUGAGAUUAAACCCUGAUGUGGAAUUUAAAGCUGAGUUCAUUUAAGCUAAGGACAUCUACGGCCUUGCGUGUUUCAGUGAAUGACCACAACACUAAGUAAAA
Rhincodon typus (whale shark) is the source of this 212-nucleotide long non-coding RNA. RefSeq lists it as uncharacterized. NCBI's taxonomy places the organism in Eukaryota, Metazoa, Chordata, Chondrichthyes, Orectolobiformes, Rhincodontidae. The record is from RefSeq and is a predicted model, not a curated record. The transcript is spliced from 2 exons.